GAUGAACGCUGGCGGCGUGCUUAACACAUGCAAGUCGAACGGAAAGGCUCCUGCUUGCAGGGGUACUCGAGUGGCGAACGGGUGAGUAACACGUGGGUGAUCUGCCCUGCACUUCGGGAUAAGCCUGGGAAACUGGGCCUACUACCGGAUAGGACGAUGGUUUGGAUGCCAUUGUGGAAAGUUUUUCGGUGUGGGAUGAGCUAGCGGCCUAUCGGCUUGUUGGUGGGGUAAUGGCCUACCAAGGCGUCGACGGGUAGCCGGCCUGAGAGGGUGGACGGCCACCUUGGGACUGAGAUACGGCCCAGACGCCUACGGGAGGCAGCAGUGGGGAAUAUUGCACAAUGGGCGCAAGCCUGAUGCAGCGACGCCGCGUGGGGGAUGACGGCCUUCGGGUUGUAAACUCCUUUCGCUAGGGACGAAGCGCAAGUGACGGUACCUGGAGAAGAAGCACCGGCUAACUACGUG
RNAcentral lists this ribosomal RNA (465 nucleotides) under uncultured bacterium. RNAcentral describes it as "partial 16S ribosomal RNA". It matches the Rfam family "Bacterial small subunit ribosomal RNA", at positions 28 to 507 of the family's 1533-position model. The record is from RNAcentral.